Molecule: small nuclear RNA, 104 nt
Organism: Phyllostomus discolor (pale spear-nosed bat)
Lineage: Eukaryota; Metazoa; Chordata; Mammalia; Chiroptera; Phyllostomidae
Source: RefSeq, a predicted model, not a curated record
GUGCCCCGUUUGGCAGCACACAUACUGAAACUGGAAUGAUACAGAGAUUAGCAUGGCCCCUGCACAAGGAUAACAGGCAAAUUCAUGAAGCGUUCCAUAUUUUU